CCUACGGGUGACAGCAGUGAGGAAUAUUGGUCAAUGGACGAGAGUCUGAACCAGCCAAGUAGCGUGAAGGAUGACUGCCCUCUGGGUUGUAAACUUCUUUUAUAUGGGAAUAAAAUGUUCCACGUGUGGCAUUUUGUAUGUACCAUAUGCAUAAGGAUCGGCUAACUCCGUGCCAGCAGCCGCGGUAAUACGGAGGGUCCGAGCGGUAUCCGGAUUUAUUGGGGUUAAAGGGAGCGUAGGUGGAUUGGUAAGUCAGUUGUGAAAGUUUGCGGCUCAACCGUAAAAAUGCAGUUGAAACUGGCAGACUUGAGUGCGGUAGAGGGGGGCGGAAUUCGUGGUGUAGCGGUGAAAUGCGUAGAUAUCACGAAGAACUCCGAUGGCGAAGGCAGCUCACUGGACUGCAACUGACACUGAGGCUCGAAAGUGUGGGGAUCAAACAGGAUUAGAUACCCCAGUAGUC
RNAcentral lists this ribosomal RNA (460 nucleotides) under uncultured bacterium. Its description in RNAcentral is "partial 16S ribosomal RNA". It matches the Rfam family "Bacterial small subunit ribosomal RNA", at positions 338 to 795 of the family's 1533-position model. The record is from RNAcentral.